UUGAUUCAUUUGUUUUUAAAUCCACUCAGACAUGCCGCUAUGGGUAUACAGAAGAGUUUUGGUCCCCUGGCGGACGGGGCGCCUUUGCUCCCUUGCGGGGGCUCGGGUACCGCUGUGUCCGCCGAGGCAACGUUUUGGGUAUAAGUUCACAAUGGGUUUGGGAGUUGUAAACUCGGUAAUGAUCCCUCCGCUGGUUCACCAACGGAGA
RNAcentral lists this unclassified non-coding RNA (208 nucleotides) under uncultured fungus. RNAcentral's name for it is "sequence contains ITS1". Lineage: Eukaryota; Fungi. The record is from RNAcentral.